This is a non-coding RNA of Schistosoma mansoni, 45 nucleotides long. NCBI's taxonomy places the organism in Eukaryota, Metazoa, Platyhelminthes, Trematoda, Strigeidida, Schistosomatidae. The record is from Rfam.
AUCCAGUUGACGAGUGUUGAAUAGGACGAAACGCGCGUCCAGGAU